GAAGAGGAAAUGAGGGCUUAGUCCGGGAAGGCCUCCUGGAGGAGAUGGGCCUUCAAUAAAGCUGUGAAGGCGGGGAGAGUGAUCUUCUGUCGGCUUUGAAGAGGGAGGACUUUCCAGGCCCGUGGCGGGACGUGGGCGAGAGGUCGGCAGCGAGAUAGACGAGAUGGAAAUAAGUGAGUAGGGUGGGCAUGAGAGGAGCGAAGUGUGCGGGCUGGGUUGGAGCAGGAGAGGGGAGGUAGACGGGGGCGAGGCGAUCGACCGCUUUAAAGCUGCCGGUGAGGAGUUCGACGCGGAGGUGGAUGGGCAACCACUAGAGGUUCUUGAGGCGUGGGGAAACAGAAAAGAGAUCCGGGCGGCAGCGUGAAGAACGGUCUGGGGUGGGAAGAGACAGCACUUAGGUCCAUAUCUGUAAUUUCCUUUCAUGCCUGUCUCCCCCUCUUGACUGCAGGCUCCCUGCGGACAGGGAACGUGUCUACCACUCUGUUACACUGUGCUCUCCCAAGCACUCGUAAAGUACUCUGCACGCAGUACGUGCUCCGUAAAUACCCUGGAUUGUACUGAGCGCUGCACAGCAAGCGCUCAGUAAAUACCCUCCAUUCCCGCCCGGACCGGGCCGGGGACACUUGCUUUCCUGCCCCCACCCGGGACGCCUGUGGUCCCGAGGCCCUCGUUCUCUAGGAACGGGGAGGGAUUGCCGUUGUCUGCACCUUUCGGGCCCGGGAGAGAGGUCUGGGUUCUUUGUGAGGUUCAGAGCCUUAAUUCAAGCGCUCAGUACAGCGCUCUACACACGGUGAGGGCUCAGUAAAUACCACUGAUCGAUUUGCUCAACGCUUUUCUUUUCGCUCUGGACAGAAACCAGUUAGGGCUGAGAUCCAGUCCCGUCAUCUGAAACAACCCCUCCCCUCCCUCCCCCUUCCUCCCCUCCUCCCCUCUGCCUCUCAUCCCUGAACAGAAGCCAUCCAAAUGGCCAGAGGAGCCCUGGCUGUAGCCAGCGGAGACGGCGUAGUGGGGGCCGGGCGAGGGGCAGGGCUUGAGGCGCGUGGCCGUCCGGAAGGGUGCUGGUGGCUGGCGCACUCAUUCUGAGGGCACGGGGUCGUGGCUACCUACCCUUUAGUGCCCUCCCAGGUACGCGGUACAGCGAUCUGCGGACACUCGGCGCUCAGUAAAUCCUACUGGCCAACCGUGGGCCGGCUGGGCUCCUUUACUCGGGCACCACCGCCGGACUGCCCGGCCACAAG
This 1238-nucleotide long non-coding RNA is filed under the name Ornithorhynchus anatinus (platypus). RNAcentral describes it as "lncRNA (ENSOANG00000041144.1)". Lineage: Eukaryota; Metazoa; Chordata; Mammalia; Monotremata; Ornithorhynchidae. The record is from RNAcentral.